GCGAGAAAACUUUGCAAUGUGCGAAAGCACGACAAGGUUAAUCCGAGUGGUUUCUGCUAAAGGAACCUUUUGUCGGUCCUAGAAACACCGAUGAAUAAGGGGUGGGCAAGUUCUGGUGUCAGCCGCCGCGGUAAAACCAGCACCUCAAGUGGUCAGGAUGAUUAUUGGGCCUAAAGCAUCCGUAGCCGGCUCUGUAAGUUUCCGGUUAAAUCCAUUUGCUCAACAAAUGGGCUGCCGAAAAUACUGCAGGACUAGGGAGUGGGAGAGGUAGACGGUACUCGGUAGGAAGGGGUAAAUCCUUUGAUCUAUUGAUGACCACCUGUGGCGAAGGCGGUCUACCAGAACACGUUCGACGGUGAGGGAUGAAAGCUGGGGAGCAAACCGGAUUAGAUACCCGGGUAGUCCCAGCUGUAAACGAUGCAGACUCGGUGAUGCCCUGGCUUGUGGCCAGUGCAGUGCCGCAGGGAAGCCGUUAAGUUUG
Molecule: ribosomal RNA, 481 nt
Filed under: uncultured Nitrososphaerota archaeon
Lineage: Archaea; Thermoproteati; Nitrososphaerota
Description: bacterial SSU rRNA
Rfam family: Archaeal small subunit ribosomal RNA
Source: RNAcentral